CCAGAAUUUGACUCAGUUUCUUCCUAUUGUAAUGAAAGUCCAGAGGAAAUUAAUGAAGUAAAUGAAACAAUUCCACUGCCUUGGUUUAAUGACUUCCACACAAAACCCUCAAAGGGUUGGUACAUUCUGCCUCCUGGGUUCACAGCACUGGGCCAGGUCCUUGGAAUAAUAGCAACAGGCUGAAAAGCUGUGUCUCAUGCUCUGAUGUUAAUGCACUGAACCGAAACAGUUGCAAAAUAAAUACUGAAAAUAAAGAACUUUGGACUGGUCAAGGGGUAAAAGCACAGUUUGUAGAGCUUAGUGUAGAGAUAACUAUACUGAACUUUGAUGGCCAUUGAGAGGUAGGGGAUCAGAGGACUCAACUCAUUGCAUUCCCUCUACAGCCUUUGCAUGGAUAAACCAUGAGCAAGGAAAGCACGAGUGCUGGUCCAACAGGCCGUGCAGACCUGCUCCUGGGAGCACAGCUCACCCACGGGUACUCGGUGAGCAGCUUGCUGCUGACAUUGUCCCAACGCCCAGCAAGUGCCACGUGGGAAGGAAGGGCUUUGGAGGAGUGCUGAGCGCUCACUCUCUAAUCUAGGAGGUGUGGAGAUUGCAGGGGACUUGGGUGAGGAAUUUACAAUUAAGGCUAUGAAAGAAACUGGCCGAGUAAGACACAAGCAAGAAUUAAUGGCCAAAUAAUAUUGCUUAAAUUUCUUGAUCUUCUAUGAUUGGAUUUUGUUGGUUUGGAAAGUGUAGAGGUGAAAUUCUCCCGAAUGUGUCUUUUUAUUUUGUCCUGUGUGAUGCCUUGCAUUGUGUUCCUCUCCAUUUUAAUAAAGCUCCAAAUAUGUGUAAAAA
Passer montanus (Eurasian tree sparrow) is the source of this 837-nucleotide long non-coding RNA. RefSeq lists it as uncharacterized. The record is from RefSeq and is a predicted model, not a curated record. The transcript is spliced from 2 exons. NCBI's taxonomy places the organism in Eukaryota, Metazoa, Chordata, Aves, Passeriformes, Passeridae.